Molecule: ribosomal RNA, 530 nt
Filed under: Listeria monocytogenes
Lineage: Bacteria; Bacillati; Bacillota; Bacilli; Caryophanales; Listeriaceae
Description: bacterial SSU rRNA
Rfam family: Bacterial small subunit ribosomal RNA
Source: RNAcentral
UUUAAAGAGAGUUUGAUCCUGGCUCAGGACGAACGCUGGCGGCGUGCCUAAUACAUGCAAGUCGAACGAACGGAGGAAGAGCUUGCUCUUCCAAAGUUAGUGGCGGACGGGUGAGUAACACGUGGGCAACCUGCCUGUAAGUUGGGGAUAACUCCGGGAAACCGGGGCUAAUACCGAAUGAUAAAGUGUGGCGCAUGCCACGCUUUUGAAAGAUGGUUUCGGCUAUCGCUUACAGAUGGGCCCGCGGUGCAUUAGCUAGUUGGUAGGGUAAUGGCCUACCAAGGCAACGAUGCAUAGCCGACCUGAGAGGGUGAUCGGCCACACUGGGACUGAGACACGGCCCAGACUCCUACGGGAGGCAGCAGUAGGGAAUCUUCCGCAAUGGACGAAAGUCUGACGGAGCAACGCCGCGUGUAUGAAGAAGGUUUUCGGAUCGUAAAGUACUGUUGUUAGAGAAGAACAAGGAUAAGAGUAACUGCUUGUCCCUUGACGGUAUCUAACCAGAAAGCCACGGCUAACUACGUGCCAGC